GGAUUCUCUGAGGUCUUGUUCCUGAGGACACGACUUUGGCGGUCACGGUGGGUCUCUAGGGCAGUGGCAGAGGGCACCGUGGGCAACGGAGACGUGCGCGGUGGGAUGGGACUGAACCACUUGGCAGAGGCAACGGGGACCCCGGGGACCCCCGGCGAUGCAGCGGCACUCCCCAUCGCCCCACAGCCGCGCGCCUGCCGGCCGUUCCGCGUGGCGGUGGGAAAAUGCCCAUCGCUAAACGGGCAAUCUCCAAACAGCUCGGCACACCGUGCUGCCUGGGUGAAAAACCUCCUCGCAGGCAAAACUUUGUAAACACGUUGCGACGCUGCUCUGGGAGAGGAAGCCUGCACGGCUGCUAAACCGAGGAGCCCCACGGCGGCAGUGAGAGCUGCCAGCCUCCCCUUCCCCUUUAAAUAAACAUCCGUGUACAAAGCAGAAGCCGCUCGAGAUCCCCCCCGCCCCGAGCCCCGCUUCCCUUUAAAAAGAGAUUUGAAGCCCGCAACAGCACUGAAUGCAAACACGCGUCUAACAUUACAGAAAUAGGUCGUGCAGCAAACCCAGCCUGCAGCCGCUGCUGCGUCCGGAGACACUACUUUGUGAAAAACAGCAAAAGUACCUUUUGAAUUCUUCCAUCAAUAUCCAAAUAAAUACACUUGGGCCGGUAGGUUGAGGAGGCAGAUCCCAUCUUGCUA
Long non-coding RNA from Tyto alba (common barn owl), 692 nucleotides. RefSeq lists it as uncharacterized. Lineage: Eukaryota; Metazoa; Chordata; Aves; Strigiformes; Tytonidae. The record is from RefSeq and is a predicted model, not a curated record. The transcript is spliced from 2 exons.